GGUUCGUAGUGACUGCGGAGGAUCAUUACAGAGUUCAUGCCCUAACGGGUAGACCUCCCACCCUUUGUUAUACCUACCUUUGUUGCUUUGGCAGGCCGCCUUCGGGCUAUCGGCUUCGGCUGGUGCGUGCCUGCCAGAGGACCUCAAACUCUGAAUUUUAAUGUCGUCUGAGUACUAUAUAAUAGUUAAAACUUUCAACAACGGAUCUCUUGGUUCUGGCAUCGAUGAAGAACGCAGCGAAAUGCGAUAAGUAAUGUGAAUUGCAGAAUUCAGUGAAUCAUCGAAUCUUUGAACGCACAUUGCGCCCCUUGGUAUUCCGGGGGGCAUGCCUGUUCGAGCGUCAUUACAACCCUCAAGCUAUGCUUGGUUAUGGGCCGUGCCGGCAACGGCUGGCCCCAAAAUUAGUGGCGGCGCCAUCGUGCUCUCAGCGUAGUAAUUCUUCUCGCUGUUGGGUCCCGGUGGACGCUGGCCAGCAACCCCCAGUUUUUUAUGGUUGACCUCGGAUCAGGUAGGGAUACCCGCUGAACUUAAGCAUAUCAAUAAGCGGAGGAAAAGAAACCAACAGGGAUUGCCUCAGUAACGGCGAGUGAAGCGGCAACAGCUCAAAUUUGAAAUCUGGCUCUUUCAGGGUCCGAGUUGUAAUUUGUAGAAGAUGCUUCGGGUGUGGCUCCGGUCUAAGUUCCUUGGAACAGGACGUCAUAGAGGGUGAGAAUCCCGUAUGUGACUGGCUGCCUCCCCCAUGUGAAGCUCUUUCGACGAGUCGAGUUGUUUGGGAAUGCAGCUCAAAAUGGGUGGUAAAUUUCAUCUAAAGCUAAAUAUUGGCCAGAGACCGAUAGCGCACAAGUAGAGUGAUCGAAAGAUGAAAAGCACUUUGGAAAGAGAGUUAAACAGUACGUGAAAUUGUUGAAAGGGAAGCGCUUGCAAUCAGACUUGCGCGCGGUCGAUCAUCCAAUGUUCUCACCGGUGCACUCGACCGUGCUCAGGCCAGCAUCGGUUUCGGUGGUUGGAUAAAGGCCUUGGGAAUGUGGCUCUCUUCGGGGAAU
This 1043-nucleotide ribosomal RNA is filed under the name Chalara sp. DSM 102896. Its description in RNAcentral is "eukaryotic LSU rRNA". The stretch from base 495 to 1043 matches the Rfam family "Eukaryotic large subunit ribosomal RNA", at positions 1 to 554 of the family's 3401-position model. The record is from RNAcentral. Lineage: Eukaryota; Fungi; Ascomycota; Leotiomycetes; Helotiales.